GCCCUAAGGCUAAGAUAGCUCAGUCAGUAGAGCAUAAGACACUUAAUCUCAGCGUUGUUGGUUUGAGCCCCGUGUUGGGCA
Non-coding RNA from Podarcis lilfordi (Lilford's wall lizard), 81 nucleotides. The record is from the annotation of a GenBank genome assembly. Lineage: Eukaryota; Metazoa; Chordata; Lepidosauria; Squamata; Lacertidae.